Long non-coding RNA from Cyprinus carpio (common carp), 1554 nucleotides. NCBI's taxonomy places the organism in Eukaryota, Metazoa, Chordata, Actinopteri, Cypriniformes, Cyprinidae. The record is from Ensembl.
AUAUAUAAAUAUAUUUAAUAUAUAAACAUAACAUAUUCUUCUUAAAUAUAUACAUGCAUGUGUGUGUAUUUAUAUAUACAUAAUAAAUAUACACAGUAUACACACAUAUAUUAUGUAAACAAAACUUUUAUUUUGGAUGUGAUUAAUCGUGAUUAAUCAUUUGACAGCACUAAUAGUUAUAUAUAUAUAUAUAAAAUAAUAUGUAUAUACGCAUGUCCGAAGAUGUUAUUACCAUUAAAACUUUCAAAUAAUCAGAAUAAAAAAGACUACAACAAAAUAAAAUAGAAUAAUGAAACAAAAAAAAAAAAUAACGUUAAUAAAAUACAACAACUGAUAAAAUAACAUAAAAUAAAAACAAAUAAAAUAAACCUUUCUGCGGUGGUGAUGUUAUUAAACUACACUUCCCAUGAUUCUGCGCGCAUCACGGAUGUUUUGCGUUUACCGGAUACACGUUUCUGCUCUCGAGUUCUGAUUCACCUGGUGACAUUAAAACCAUCAACCGGCUCUCGGUGAGACCACAGGCACGCCACCACAGUGAGAGCACGCCACCUUCUCUGUUAACGGAACCCGUUGUUGUUACGGUUGCGAUGUUCCUGUCGUCGGUACCGGCGCGCGUCCUGAUGCGAAGGUCGCGCAGUCUGUCGCCGCGCCGCGCGCUGCAGACCGGCCACGGCGAGGCCUCGCGCUUCCGAAACCUCUGCGAGCUCGAACCGAACCGGAGCCCAGUGGCCAGCGGAUCGCGCGCGGCCAGGAAGAGCGUCGCGAGCGAGGAGUCGCGCGUGCAGUACCAUCAGCUGGCCAGCAGAUGGCGCGUGAGUCUGGAGACCCGGCGGAGCAGCUGGGCGAGUGUGACCGCCGCGGGGCGCUGCAGAGGCGGACACCAGAGCCGCUCAGAGUCCGCUGCUGCUGCUGGAGCCGCGGGCGUCGCGGGCGUCAUCUCCGCCGCGGCGCUCGCCUUCUGUUUGAAGAAAGACAGCGAUGAUAAAGCUGAAGCUCUUCUGGAUGCGGCCAGAUCCAGUAACACCGAGGAAGUUAUCAGGUUGUUGGCGCAGGGAGUCGAUCCGAACACUCGACACCGUUUGGGCUGGACACCUCUCAUGGUGGCUGCGAUGAAUAGACAGCACAAAAUGCCGUGGCAGAGCUUGUGUGUCAGAGGCCCACAGAACCUUUAACUUAAUUGAAUUAAAGCUCACUUAACAAACACACACAGACGGAGGAGAGACAGAAGGAGAAAGAGGGAGGAGGUCACCAAAUCCAAUUUCUGGAGUCAGUGUCACCCCUCGUUUGAAACGGGACUCAUUUCACUGUGUCAGCACACACACACACACGAACGGAGAGGAGAGUACUGGUUACUCACACUUUAACUAGACACUAGCUGUGUAGAGAAGAGAAGAACCAAGUCAGAACUAAAACUAAAUAUGAAGUUCAUGUCGUCCCAAAUCUGUAUGAUUUAUUUCUUCACAAAAUGUCAAAAAGCAUCUAAUGUUGUCUGGCCCUUAAUGUUUUUCAAAAUAUCCAAAUAAAGAAACUCAUACAUGAGAGGAAUGAUAUGAG